Trichonephila clavata is the source of this 75-nucleotide non-coding RNA. The record is from the annotation of a GenBank genome assembly. Lineage: Eukaryota; Metazoa; Arthropoda; Arachnida; Araneae; Nephilidae.
GUCCCUGUAGCGCAAUGGAUAGUGCUUUGGACAUCUGAUACAACGGUCGUGUGUUAUCGAAUCCCACCAGGGAUG